Molecule: long non-coding RNA, 199 nt
Organism: Eubalaena glacialis (North Atlantic right whale)
Lineage: Eukaryota; Metazoa; Chordata; Mammalia; Artiodactyla; Balaenidae
Exons: 3
Source: RefSeq, a predicted model, not a curated record
GGCAUCCUUUCCUCCUCAUUCUGCUGGUAGCCGCACCAGCUUAUCAAAUACUUCCAAUCUCCUGGUUGAACACCGAUUUGGGAGAAAAGCAAGACCUAGCAGUCAGAUUCAUUUUUCAGCAAAAAGGCCGCCAAGUAACUUUGAAGUUUGUUUUACACAAGCUCUCACGGAAGCUGUGGUCUAUCAGCUGCAGUCCUGG